RNAcentral lists this ribosomal RNA (486 nucleotides) under uncultured bacterium. RNAcentral's name for it is "partial 16S ribosomal RNA". It matches the Rfam family "Bacterial small subunit ribosomal RNA", at positions 28 to 523 of the family's 1533-position model. The record is from RNAcentral.
GAUGAACGCUGGCGGCGUGCUUAACACAUGCAAGUCGAACGGAAAGGCCCCAGCUUGCUGGGGUACUCGAGUGGCGAACGGGUGAGUAACACGUGGGUGAUCUGCCCUGCACUUUGGGAUAAGCUUGGGAAACUGGGUCUAAUACCGAAUAUGACCACUUCUUGGAUGUUGUGGUGGAAAGCUUUUGCGGUGUGGGAUGAGCCUGCGGCCUAUCAGCUUGUUGGUGGGGUAAUGGCCUACCAAGGCGGCGACGGGUAUCCGGCCUGAGAGGGUGUACGGACACAUUGGGACUGAGAUACGGCCCAGACUCCUACGGGAGGCAGCAGAGGGGAAUAUUGCACAAUGGGCGCAAGCCUGAUGCAGAGACGCCGCGUGGGGGAUGAAGGCCUUCGGGUUGUAAACUCCUUUCGCUAUCGACGAAGCCACUUGUGGUGACGGUAGGUAGAUAAGAAGCACCGGCUAACUACGUGCCAGCCGCCGCCGUAA